GUUGCCUGGAGACGGGCGGGGCGUCAGCGUCGCCCUGCGGGAGCGGCGGCCCGGGUCCUCCGCGAACCCUCAGCGAGGCCGCCCGUCGGUUUCCGGAGACAGCACCGCGUACUCGGGCCUGGUGGACGGCUGGGCAGGGAAAGGCCGCUGUGAGGUUUGCUUCCUCUGUGCGGAGUCCCCGGGCCCAGCUCCGCCACUUUCGCCUUCCUGGCGAGGCAGAGCCCUGCUCACGGGUGGGGCCGGGGCACAUUGGACACCCAUGCCUGGCCCGCACCAAGGCUGCCCUUUCAAGCCGCCCUGGGGCAUGUAGAGCUGGUCCCUGGGGAAGGCUGUGCCUAGGGGCUUGGAGAAAAGCGAGCAAGACAACUACCGCCCUUGUGUCCGGCGUGGCUGUUCCCUCCUUGGUGGUGGGGACCCCACAGGCAGGAAAGGACGCUGGGUGUCCCCCACGAGGAUGUCAUCGUGAAUGAAGGGGCUGCUUUCUGUGGAGCGGGGACUUCGAGAGCAGUGUCUGGGCCAGCUUGUCUGAGCAGAGAGCCCUGGACCAGGAAGGCCGACUGCUCUGAGCACGGGCACCUGUGACAUGGGCUUUUCAGAACUGUGGAGGUCACUGAUGAUGGGAUUUCAAGUUGCUGUGAUUCUGACUGCAAAGAGGGAAUCUCCAGGACUGGAUUGUGCUUGGGAACAUGACAGCUUUUGUGGGCCCUGCAGUCAGGAGUAGCCUGACCCCAUAAACCAGGACAUUUGAGACGUGGCCUUGGGCGGUGGUCCUGCCUCAUUAAAGCAGUCUCCCUGCCACCCGCCAUUGGCACCCCUGGGGCCCUGCACCUGCCAACUGUGUGUGCCACAGGGCUGCUUCAUGUAUCUCUGUUCAUUCCCGCUCUCGGUUGUUUUCUGAAGACCAGUGGGUGCAGUGUUUUUCCGGUGUAUUUACUGCUGAGCCUACCUACUUCAGCCCCAAGUCUCCUCAUGUCACAUCAUCCGUUAGUGCCUUAUUUCAUGUGGGUGACGUUUUCUCUCCAGUGCAUCUCGGUAAUGUCAAACGUGGGCGCCCUGAACAUGCUUCAAAUAAAUCUGCAGAUGGGACAGUGAGCUUGUUCUUGACUGAGUCUUUGCCGAGUCCUGAGCCAGAGGCUUGGGUCUGGGCCAAGGUAGGCAUUCAGUGGGGCGGAGGCCUGGUUUGCGUUGGGUGAGGGUCCCUGGGACGGUGGACACAGCAAGGCAAGGGGUCUGAGGAGUCCUCUCGUGGGAUGUAUUGGAAACUUGGUAUUUAUGGUUUUUUCCCAUAAAGUUCCUGAAAUGAACAAUAAAACUGUCUGCAACUUUUA
Molecule: long non-coding RNA, 1328 nt
Organism: Vicugna pacos (alpaca)
Lineage: Eukaryota; Metazoa; Chordata; Mammalia; Artiodactyla; Camelidae
Source: RefSeq, a predicted model, not a curated record